UCAGAUUGAACGCUGGCGGCAUGCUUUACACAUGCAAGUCGAACGGCAGCACGGGGGCAACCCUGGUGGCGAGUGGCGAACGGGUGAGUAAUAUAUCGGAACGUACCCAAGAGUGGGGGAUAACGUAGCGAAAGUUACGCUAAUACCGCAUACGAUCUCAGGAUGAAAGUGGGGGACCGCAAGGCCUCACGCUCCUGGAGCGGCCGAUAUCUGAUUAGCUAGUAGGUAGGGUAAAGGCCUACCAAGGCAUCGAUCAGUAGCUGGUCUGAGAGGACGACCAGCCACACUGGAACUGAGACACGGUCCAGACUCCUACGGGAGGCAGCAGUGGGGAAUUUUGGACAAUGGGCGCAAGCCUGAUCCAGCAAUGCCGCGUGAGUGAAGAAGGCCUUCGGGUUGUAAAGCUCUUUUGUCAGGGAAGAAACGGUGAAGGCUAAUAUCCUUUGCUAAUGACGGUACCUGAAGAAUAAGCACCGGCUAACUACGUGCCAGCAGCCGCGGUAAUACGUAGGGUGCAAGCGUUAAUCGGAAUUACUGGGCGUAAAGCGUGCGCAGGCGGUUUUGUAAGUCUGUCGUGAAAUCCNCGGGCUCAACCUGGGU
This 600-nucleotide ribosomal RNA is filed under the name bacterium enrichment culture clone F61x_D56_T3_H07. Its description in RNAcentral is "bacterial SSU rRNA". It matches the Rfam family "Bacterial small subunit ribosomal RNA", at positions 24 to 619 of the family's 1533-position model. The record is from RNAcentral.